This 326-nucleotide ribosomal RNA is filed under the name uncultured bacterium. Its description in RNAcentral is "bacterial SSU rRNA". It matches the Rfam family "Bacterial small subunit ribosomal RNA", at positions 28 to 313 of the family's 1533-position model. The record is from RNAcentral.
GAUGAACGCUGGCGGCGUGCCUAAUACAUGCAAGUCGAACGCAUUGUGGUUGAAAUGAUAUGAAGAACUUGUUCAGAUUUUGAUUUUUCAACAUUGCAAUGAGUGGCGAACGGGUGAGUAACACGUGGGAAACCUACCUCUUAGCAGGGGAUAACAUUUGGAAACAAAUGCUAAUACCGUAUAAUAAUUAAAACCGCAUGGUUUUAGUUUAAAAGAUGGUCUUGCUAUCACUAAGAGAUGGUCCCGCGGUGUAUUAGUUAGUUGGUGAGGUAAUGGCUCACCAAGACAAUGAUACAUAGCCGAGUUGAGAGACUGACCGGCCACAA